GAAGGGUGCAAGCGUUACUCGGAAUUACUGGGCGUAAAGCGUGCGUAGGUGGUUGUUUAAGUCUGUUGUGAAAGCCCUGGGCUCAACCUGGGAAUUGCAGUGGAUACUGGGCGACUAGAGUGUGGUAGAGGGUAGUGGAAUUCCCGGUGUAGCAGUGAAAUGCGUAGAGAUCGGGAGGAACAUCCAUGGCGAAGGCAGCUACCUGGACCAACACUGACACUGAGGCACGAAAGCGUGGGGAGCAAACAGGAUUAGAUACCCUGGUAGUCCACGCCCUAAACGAUGCGAACUGGAUGUUGGGUGCAAUUUGGCACGCAGUAUCGAAGCUAACGCGUUAAGUUCGCCGCCUGGGGAGUACGGUCGCAAGACUG
This 371-nucleotide ribosomal RNA is filed under the name uncultured bacterium. Its description in RNAcentral is "bacterial SSU rRNA". It matches the Rfam family "Bacterial small subunit ribosomal RNA", at positions 527 to 896 of the family's 1533-position model. The record is from RNAcentral.